GUAGAUGCUCAUUCCAUCUCUUAUGUUCGCCUUAGUGCCUCAUAAACUCCGGAAUGACGCAGAGCCGUUUACGGUGCUUAUCGUCCACUGACAGAUGUCGCUUAUGCCUCA
RNAcentral lists this unclassified non-coding RNA (111 nucleotides) under Escherichia coli. Its description in RNAcentral is "SraJ". It matches the Rfam family "GlmZ RNA activator of glmS mRNA", at positions 1 to 116 of the family's 214-position model. From Rfam's summary of the family: This RNA was discovered in E. coli during a large scale screen. The sraJ gene was expressed in early logarithmic phase, but its level decreased with cell growth. The record is from RNAcentral. Lineage: Bacteria; Pseudomonadati; Pseudomonadota; Gammaproteobacteria; Enterobacterales; Enterobacteriaceae.